RNAcentral lists this ribosomal RNA (546 nucleotides) under Triticum aestivum (bread wheat). Its description in RNAcentral is "partial small subunit ribosomal RNA". Lineage: Eukaryota; Viridiplantae; Streptophyta; Magnoliopsida; Poales; Poaceae. The record is from RNAcentral.
AUGGCGGCCUCUAGCUCGACAUUAUCCGAAAUAAAUACCUGCGGGGCCAGCCAGAAAUCGGGUGGCUCCCAGUUCUGGCAGUCUAUUGUUCAGCUUCUCCCGGUGCUUCACAUUGGGACCUCCAUCUCGGUGGGGUCCGGCCUCUCGACGCUCUUCUGGUUUGAUCGUUGGGCCGGAGACUCCCCCUUUGCGGCCCGCUUCCCCGCCCUCUUCUCUAUCUCCGUCGACCCCAUGAUUUCGGUCAAUCGGUCUCUUCUUGACCUGGGGCGCCUUGCUUUCCGUCGCCCUUUUGGGCCGGCGCAAUCCGCUGCCUGGCAUGAGUUGCUUGAUUGCGUCGCGUUGCACGAGCCGUUGGUGGAUGGCAGGUCGGACCGUGUCCGGUGGCGGCUGGAGCCGUCGGGCCUGUUCUCCACCAAGUCGCUUUACUCGGCCAUUUCCCCUUCCUCCGCCCUCCCCUUAUCGAUGGUUUGGUCCAUCCGCGUACCACUGAAGAUUCGCAUCUUCAUGUGGCAGUGGAUUCGCGGUCGGGUCCCGUCUGGAGUGUAG